This 253-nucleotide ribosomal RNA is filed under the name uncultured bacterium. RNAcentral's name for it is "partial 16S ribosomal RNA". It matches the Rfam family "Bacterial small subunit ribosomal RNA", at positions 524 to 776 of the family's 1533-position model. The record is from RNAcentral.
UACAGAGGUCUCAGGCGUUGUUCGGAUUCAUUGGGCGUAAAGGGUGCGUAGGCGGCGCGGUAAGUCGGGUGUGAAAUCUCGGAGCUUAACUCCGAAACUGCAUUCGAUACUGCCGUGCUGGAGGACUGGAGAGGAGACUGGAAUUUACGGUGUAGCGGUGAAAUGCGUAGAUAUCGUAAGGAAGACCAGUGGCGAAGGCGGGUCUCUGGACAGUUCCUGACGCUGAGGCACGAAGGUCAGGGGAGCAAACGGG